AGAGUUUGAUCCUGGCUCAGAAUCAACGCUGGCGGCGUGCCUCAGACAUGCAAGUCGAACGAUUAAAGCUCUCUUCGGAGAGUGCAUAAAGUGGCGCACGGGUGAGUAACACGUAAGUAAUCUACCCUCGAGUGGGGAAUAACGUCCGGAAACGGACGCUAAUACCGCAUAAUGCAGCGGCACCGCAAGGUGACAGUUGUUAAAGAUUUAUCGCUUGAGGAGGAGCUUGCGGCAGAUUAGCUAGUUGGUAAGGUAAUGGCUUACCAAGGCUACGAUCUGUAACCGGUCUAAGAGGACGGUCGGUCACACUGACACUGAAUAACGGGUCAGACUCCUACGGGAGGCAGCAGUCGGGAAUUUUGGGCAAUGGGCGAAAGCCUGACCCAGCAACGCCGCGUGAAGGAUGAAGUAUUUCGGUAUGUAAACUUCGAAAGAAUAGGAAGAAUAAAUGACGGUACUAUUUAUAAGGUCCGGCUAACUACGU
Molecule: ribosomal RNA, 484 nt
Filed under: uncultured Acidobacteriota bacterium
Lineage: Bacteria; Pseudomonadati; Acidobacteriota
Description: bacterial SSU rRNA
Rfam family: Bacterial small subunit ribosomal RNA
Source: RNAcentral